RNAcentral lists this ribosomal RNA (450 nucleotides) under uncultured bacterium. RNAcentral's name for it is "bacterial SSU rRNA". It matches the Rfam family "Bacterial small subunit ribosomal RNA", at positions 29 to 526 of the family's 1533-position model. The record is from RNAcentral.
AACGAACGCUGGCGGCAGGCUUAACACAUGCAAGUCGAACGCCCCGCAAGGGGAGUGGCAGACGGGUGAGUAACACGUGGGAACAUACCCUUCGGUUCGGAACAACGUUUGGAAACGGACGCUAAUACCGGAUACGGCAGAGAUGCGAAAGAUUCAUCGCCGAAGGAUUGGCCCGCGUUCGAUUAGCUUGAUGGUGAGGUAACGGCUCACCAUGGCGACGAUCGAUAGCUGGUCUGAGAGGAUGGCCAGCCACAUUGGGACUGAGACACGGCCCAAACUCCUACGGGAGGCAGCAGUGGGGAAUAUUGGACAAUGGGCGCAAGCCUGAUCCAGCCAUGCCGCGUGAGUGAUGACGGCCUUAGGGUUGUAAAGCUCUUUCGCACGCGACGAUAAUGACGGUAGCGUGAGAAGAAGCCCCGGCUAACUUCGUGCCAGCCGCCGCCGUAACAC